RNAcentral lists this transfer RNA (60 nucleotides) under Camaena poyuensis. RNAcentral's name for it is "tRNA-Thr". It matches the Rfam family "tRNA". From Rfam's summary of the family: Transfer RNA (tRNA) molecules are approximately 80 nucleotides in length. Their secondary structure includes four short double-helical elements and three loops (D, anti-codon, and T loops). Lineage: Eukaryota; Metazoa; Mollusca; Gastropoda; Stylommatophora; Camaenidae. The record is from RNAcentral.
GUAAAUAUAGCUUAUGUAAAGCAUUGGUUUUGUAAAUCAAAGAUGAUUUUCCUAUUUAUA